UCGGGAAUUUUGGGCAAUGGGGGAAACCCUGACCCAGCAACGCCGCGUGAAGGAUGAAGUAUUUCGGUAUGUAAACUUCGAAAGAAUAGGAAGAAUAAAUGACGGUACUAUUUAUAAGGUCCGGCUAACUACGUGCCAGCAGCCGCGGUAAUACGUAGGGACCAAGCGUUGUUCGGAUUUACUGGGCGUAAAGGGCGCGUAGGCGGCAUGACAAGUCACUUGUGAAAUCUCUGGGCUUAACCCAGAACGGCCAAGUGAUACUGUCGCGCUAGAGUGCAGAAGGGGCAAUCGGAAUUCUUGGUGUAGCGGUGAAAUGCGUAGAUAUCAAGAGGAACACCUGAGGUGAAGACGGGUUGCUGGGCUGACACUGACGCUGAGGCGCGAAAGCGUGGGGAGCAAACAGGAUUAGAUACCCAAGUAGUCCCUGAGCGGGCUGGCAAGGCGCAU
Molecule: ribosomal RNA, 447 nt
Filed under: uncultured bacterium
Lineage: Bacteria
Description: bacterial SSU rRNA
Rfam family: Bacterial small subunit ribosomal RNA
Source: RNAcentral